Molecule: RNA transcript, 2246 nt
Organism: Alexandromys fortis (reed vole)
Lineage: Eukaryota; Metazoa; Chordata; Mammalia; Rodentia; Cricetidae
Gene: Lratd2
Gene name: LRAT domain containing 2
Exons: 3
Source: RefSeq, a predicted model, not a curated record
UCUGUCUCUUUAAAUGCCAAGGGCUUCGCUCCCGCCCGGCUGCCCGGAGCCGGAUCUACAAUCCCGUCCCUCCCGCUCCGGCGCUUGUUGCUCGCCCGGUCCGAGCGGGAGCUGCGGACCGCGGGAAGCCGAGCUACCUCCUCCUUUCCUUUUCGUGCUCCACCUUCCGGGAGAUCUGCGUGAGGGGUUGCAUAGCAGCGGGCGUGAACAGGCAUUGCCCCCACCACCUUCAUUUCUUGGGGUGCUACGCAGCCGUGCGGGGCGGGAAGGGAAGAAAUGCGUCUUUCCCCGCUGCCUGGCUUCGUCCCGGUCCGCGCUGGGAGAGGAGGCACUGCGGAGCCCACACCUGCGAACUCGCCCUAGAAGUCUCAGGGUGCGGCAGGGCGCCCCUCCCGGUCCCCCAGGGCUUCCACCUCUCCGCGAGUGAGUCGGCGCAGGUGGCUUUAGCCCCUGCCCCGGGACCAGUGCCAAUGACUCUGGCGGUGGUUUCGCUUUCUCCUCUCUCAGUCCUGUGAACGAGUGUCCACAGCGUGAUGGGCAAUCAGGUGGAGAAACUGACCCACCUAAGUUACAAGGAAGUUCCCACGGCCGACCCGACCGGCGUGGACCGAGACGAUGGGCCCCGCAUAGGAGUCUCUUAUAUUUUCUCCAAUGACGACGAGGACGUGGAACCGCAGCCACCGCCCCAGGGGCCUGAUGGCGGAGCGUUGCCGGACUCGGGGGACCGGCCUCCCCUGCCCCCGCCGCAGCCCUAUGACCCGCGGCAGCAUGAGGUGGAAUGCUCAGUGUUUUAUCGCGACGAGUGCAUCUACCAGAAAAGCUUCGCGCCGGGGUCGGCAGCACUAAGCACCUACACACCCGAGAACCUGCUCAACAAGUGCAGUCCGGGCGACCUCGUGGAGUUUGUGUCGCAGGCGCAGUACCCACACUGGGCUGUCUACGUGGGCAAUUUCCAAGUGGUGCAUUUGCACCGGUUGGAGGUGAGCAACAGCUUCCUUACCGAUGCAAGCCAGGGUCGACGUGGCCGCGUGGUCAACGAUCUGUAUCGCUACAAGCCACUGAGCCCCAGCGCUGUUGUGCGGAACGCGCUGGCCCACGUGGGCGCCAAGGAGCGCGAGCUCAGCUGGCGCAACUCGGAGAGCUUUGCCGCCUGGUGCCGCUAUGGCAAACGCGAGUUCAAAAUCGGUGGCGAGCUGCGCAUCGGCAAGCAGCCCUACCGUUUGCAGAUUCAGCUCUCGGCCCAGCGCAGCCACACUCUCGAGUUCCAGAGCCUGGAGGAUUUGAUCAUGGAGAAGCGGCGCAACGACCAAAUCGGACGCGCGGCGGUGCUGCAGGAGCUCGCCACGCACCUUCACCCGGCUGAGCCAGAUGAGGGCGACAGCGAAGCGGCUCGGACUACACCGUCUCCCCUGCGCCUCCCUGCACCGGGCUCCGAGGAGGAGAAUGGAGACUCGGUGGUGCACUGAUAUUUAGCCUAGACUCAGAGCUGCAAAAGGGAGCUGUUUGCAACGGCCGCGCCCCCUUCCUCCCCACCCCACCCUCUUCGCCUGGGCCUCAUUUGAUAUUCCUGGGCCUUUUGGAAAACGCAGAGUUUGUGAAAAGCACAGCCGACUUUGAACGGGGGAGGAGGAAGGGGACGAAGGGAGCAGGAAUAAGACAUAGAACUCUUUUGUACUGUGAAUUAUGGACGCUCUUUGAAGGAAAGAAAUAUUGAUUCCUAUGUUCUUCUGAAGCUGUGGAAGGGAUGAGCAGGACCCUGUGGAACACGCACUAAAAGAAACCAGACAAAUUCUAUUUUCUUACCUGAGCAAAUAUUUUAUUGAGACUGCUUAUGUAUGUCAAAGGAGCCUACAACUUCGGCUACACAACUUUUUCUAUGGGAAGAACUGGUACUUUUGUAGCUUUUAUUCCACGUUUAAUUUAAAAUGACUUUGUAGCAGUGAAAUGUCUAGCAGAAGACUUUAUUCCAGAUCUUGAAGAUGAUUUUUAGUUUUUAUGAAAAUGGUUCAGUGGUUCAGCCUCUCAAAGCAUCGGUGCUUCUGGGCCUCAGGGCACCCUUGGACAAGAACAACCACGUGAAAACAUAUUUUUUGGAAGCAAAACUUUAAUUUUAUAUGAUAUAUACUAUGGAAAGCUAAGAAAAUUUCAGAACGACUUGUUUUUCUUUUUAUUUCUUUUUCUUAAAAUGGGAUCCACUGUGUUGAAGACUCUUGAUAUAGUAUGUGCUUGUCUAGGCAUUUUUUUUU